This 262-nucleotide ribosomal RNA is filed under the name Achromobacter sp. ACM02. RNAcentral describes it as "partial 16S ribosomal RNA". It matches the Rfam family "Bacterial small subunit ribosomal RNA", at positions 702 to 964 of the family's 1533-position model. The record is from RNAcentral. Lineage: Bacteria; Pseudomonadati; Pseudomonadota; Betaproteobacteria; Burkholderiales; Alcaligenaceae.
AGGAACACCGAUGGCGAAGGCAGCCUCCUGGGAUAACACUGACGCUCAUGCACGAAAGCGUGGGGAGCAAACAGGAUUAGAUACCCUGGUAGUCCACGCCCUAAACGAUGUCAACUAGCUGUUGGGGUCUUCGGACCUUGGUAGCGCAGCUAACGCGUGAAGUUGACCGCCUGGGGAGUACGGUCGCAAGAUUAAAACUCAAAGGAAUUGACGGGGACCCGCACAAGCGGUGGAUGAUGUGGAUUAAUUCGAUGCAACGCGA